CGCUGGCGGCGUGGAUUAGGCAUGCAAGUCGAACGCGAAAGUUCCCUUCGGGGAGCGAGUAGAGUGGCGAAAGGGUGAGUAAUGCUUGGAUGACCUGCCCUCGAGACGGGGACAACAGUUCGAAAGGACUGCUAAUACCCGAUAGUCCGGUUUAGAUGCGUCUAGAUCGGUAAAUGGUGCUUCCGCUCGAGGAGGGGUUCAAGUCCUAUCAGCUUGUUGGUGAGGUAACGGCUCACCAAGGCGAUGACGGGUAGCCGGACUGAGAGGUUGGCCGGCCACAUGGGAACUGAGACACUGUCCUGACUCCUACGGGAGGCUGCAGUCGAGAAUCUUCUGCAAUGGGCGAAAGCCUGACAGAGCGACGCCGCGUGGAGGAUGAAGGCCCUCGGGUCGUAAACUCCUGUCACAUGUUAUGAAACGCACAGGUCUACCUGUGCGCUGACAAAAGCAUGAGNGGAAGUUCACGGCUAACUCGUG
This 477-nucleotide ribosomal RNA is filed under the name uncultured bacterium. RNAcentral's name for it is "bacterial SSU rRNA". It matches the Rfam family "Bacterial small subunit ribosomal RNA", at positions 34 to 507 of the family's 1533-position model. The record is from RNAcentral.